UACGAAGGGUGCUAGCGUUGUUCGGAAUCACUGGGCGUAAAGCGCGCGUAGGCGGCUUUCCAAGUCAGGGGUGAAAUCCUGGGGCUUAACCCCAGAAUUGCCUUUGAAACUGGAGAGCUAGAGUACUGGAGGGGUUGGCGGAAUUCCUAAUGUAGAGGUGAAAUUCGUAGAUAUUCGGAAGAACACCAGUGGCGAAGGCGACUUACUGGACGACUGUUGACGCUGAGGUGCGAAAGCGUGGGGAGCAAACAGG
RNAcentral lists this ribosomal RNA (253 nucleotides) under uncultured bacterium. Its description in RNAcentral is "partial 16S ribosomal RNA". It matches the Rfam family "Bacterial small subunit ribosomal RNA", at positions 524 to 776 of the family's 1533-position model. The record is from RNAcentral.